CGGGUGAGUAACACGUGGGUAACCUUCCCUUCGGUGGGGGAUACCCCUGCGAAAGCGGGACUAAUACAGCAUAAGACUCCCUGGGUUAGCUCUGAUGGUUUCAAAGCAUCCAUGCUCCGGAAGAGGGGCCCGCGGCCAAUGAACUGGUUGGCGAGGUAACGGCUCACCAAGGCUAAUAUCGGUAGCCGGUCUGAGAGGAUGAUCGGUCACACUGGAACUGAUACACAGUCCACACUCCUACGGGAGGCACCAGUGGG
This 257-nucleotide ribosomal RNA is filed under the name uncultured Acidobacteriota bacterium. RNAcentral's name for it is "uncultured Acidobacteria bacterium partial 16S ribosomal RNA". It matches the Rfam family "Bacterial small subunit ribosomal RNA", at positions 103 to 358 of the family's 1533-position model. The record is from RNAcentral. Lineage: Bacteria; Pseudomonadati; Acidobacteriota.